Molecule: ribosomal RNA, 419 nt
Filed under: uncultured bacterium
Lineage: Bacteria
Description: partial 16S ribosomal RNA
Rfam family: Bacterial small subunit ribosomal RNA
Source: RNAcentral
AAUAUUGGACAAUGGGGGCAACCCUGAUCCAGCCAUGCCGCGUGUGUGAAGAAGGUCUUCGGAUUGUAAAGCACUUUAAGUUGGGAGGAAGGGCUUUAGGUUAAUACCCUGAAGUUUUGACGUUACCAACAGAAUAAGCACCGGCUAACUCUGUUCCAGCAGCCGCGGUAAUACAGAGGGUGCAAGCGGUAAUCGGAAUUACUGGGAGUAAAAGGCGCGUUAGUGGGUUAGUAAGAUGGGUUGGAAAUCCCCCGGGUUAACCUGGGAACUGGUUUCAUAACUGCUGAGGUAGAGUAAGGUAAAGGGUAGUGGAAUUUCCUGUGUAGCGGUGAAAUGCGUAGAUAUAGGAAGGAACACCAGUGGCGAAGGCGACUACCUGGACUGAUACUGACACUGAGGUGCGAAAGCGUGGGGAGCAA